GCUGGAUUCGCUAGUAAUCGCGCAUCAGCCACGGCGCGGUGAAUACGUUCCCGGGCCUUGUACACACCGCCCGUCAAGCCAUGGGAGCCGGGGGUGCCUGAAGGCCGUGACCGCGAGGAGCGGCCUAGGGUAAAACUGGUGACUGGGGCUAAGUCGUAACAAGGUAAC
Molecule: ribosomal RNA, 168 nt
Filed under: uncultured bacterium
Lineage: Bacteria
Description: partial 16S ribosomal RNA
Rfam family: Bacterial small subunit ribosomal RNA
Source: RNAcentral